GACGUAGGGGGCAAGCGUUGUUCGGAUUUACUGGGCGUAAAGCGCACGUAGGCGGAUCGUUAAGUCAGGGGUGAAAUCCUGGAGCUCAACUCCAGAACUGCCUUUGAUACUGGCGAUCUUGAGUCCGGAAGAGGUGAGUGGAACUCCUAGUGUAGAGGUGGAAUUCGUAGAUAUUAGGAAGAACACCAGUGGCGAAGGCGGCUCACUGGUCCGGUACUGACGCUGAGGUGCGAAAGCGUGGGGAGCAAACAGG
RNAcentral lists this ribosomal RNA (253 nucleotides) under uncultured bacterium. RNAcentral's name for it is "partial 16S ribosomal RNA". It matches the Rfam family "Bacterial small subunit ribosomal RNA", at positions 524 to 776 of the family's 1533-position model. The record is from RNAcentral.